Aethalodelphis obliquidens (Pacific white-sided dolphin) is the source of this 2084-nucleotide long non-coding RNA. RefSeq lists it as uncharacterized. The record is from RefSeq and is a predicted model, not a curated record. The transcript has 3 exons. Lineage: Eukaryota; Metazoa; Chordata; Mammalia; Artiodactyla; Delphinidae.
UUCAUUGUUUCUUGCCUCUGAUUUUCACUGAAUAACCUAAGACCGCCUUGAGAUCCUGAGAGUCCAAAAGAAAACCCAAUUAAAACAAUCUCCAGGGUAUUCCACCCAUCUCGACUCGAGGAAAAGUCCCAAACCUAGGAGAUGGAACUACAGUGACCACAGUUAGGUGACUUUUAAUAUCCACAUUCCUUCCACACUCUCGUAAUUCUGGCCCAACUACCUACUAACUGUGGGACCAUGUGCUUCACUUUCCUCCUCCAUAAAAUGGGGACGAUAAUACUUUCUUCAUCAGGUUGGUGUGAAAAUUAAAUGAGUUAAUACAUGCACAGCACUUAGAACAGUAUCUGGUACAGAGUAAGUGCUCAAAGAAUGUUAGCUAUUAAUAUUAUUACUAUUAGCAUUUGCAAAAAACAUUACAUAGGGACGCAAAUACAGGAGGCUUCUACUGUAUUGGUAAUGUUUUACUGCGUUAACAAAAAAUCUAAAAUUAGAACCAUCAAUACAAAAAUAUAAAAUGGUCUUGGGAAAAGAAAAAAAAAGCCACUCAGAGUCAUGCCACCUGUUGGGGAGUUUCAGGUGAGGGUACACCUCGGAGCAGCUGUGGAAUCCCGUUCCACGGCUGCUCUGUAUUUCCCUUAUAUGAUGCCUCCACUUCUGCUGCGGUUCUUAAUCAGCGUUUCAUGGGCAGGAUUACGGGCGGGUCCGUGAACCCCCUGAAACUGUACACGGAACUGGGUGGGGCUGCGGCUCUGGGCAUUUUGCAGGCAAGAGUUCUAUAGCUUUUCUCACGCUCUAAUAAAUGAUCUUGUAGGGAGCAACUUGCUUUACAGGGUUAAACACAGGAGAUAGGGACUGAACAAUUCAUUUCACGGAAGCUACGGCAGUAAACAGGACACCUGGGCUGUCAAUCUGCUAUCUCAACACGAGACCCGGCGCCGCGAGGGGCAAGAGCCGGCCGGGCAGUGACCUUCACCGUCGAAAAUCUCACCGGCUCCCCAGACCCGACUCGGGUUUGCCGGGUUUAACUUCCCCUCCCUUCCCCCAUCCCUCGUUCUCUUCCAAGAAUAAACUCAAAGGAAAUCAGCAGCGCUUCGUCUAGGGUUUCACUCCUGCCCUCGGCUGACACUUAAACCACUUCUCCAAGGGAAGUUAAUUAAAACAACAAUUAAUCCGCACAAAAAUCCACCCCCAAAGCUCGAGAACUCUCAAAGUUAGAAGACUGAGGCGCCGCUGCUGAUGGUGAACAUCUGCCGGUCGCUGGGGCUCACGGGUAGGCGGCGGGUACGAAAGGGAAGCAGCCAAGGUCCGGCCGGAGGGUCGGACGCUGGCCACCCUCCGCGAGUCUACGCGCUACCGACGCCGGUGAAGACUGGCUUGGAGGCAGCCAGGUAAGCAGCUCUCAGGUCUACCUUGGGAAUGCACAUUCAAGUUGUGUAUUCAGCUUGAAUCCUUCCUUCGCAAGGGAUAUUGCAGGAUGGCUCUAAAGCCCAGUAUUGAAGUCUGGAGGUUGAUGGUUCCACAGGUGGUCCAAGCGGCUCCAAGAUGUCAAGCUCGUGAACUGCCUAGUUGACCAGCAUGCAGGAGAGGUACCCAGAGGAUUCAGCACAGCUGAUGCCAAACCAUUCCAUUAAGCACACUUGGAGACAGAAGAGCUAUGCAUUCAAUUCUGUCCUUGCUGCUGUCCCCCGACCUCCUGCAGCCUCAGCCGUACAGCCAAAGCUUUCUGGAGACUGGGAAGAUUGCCCUCCAAAUUCUCAGGAGUGCCGGGGGAAAGUCCUAAAUCAAAUGCCUAGCUAUCCUUACGCAGGUGAAACUAAUGGUAUUGAUGGGAAAGAGGAGUGAUGAUCAAGAGAAGCAAAAGAGAGACAGGAAAAAAUAUAUAAAGAAUUGAGGAAGGAAAAAUCAAAGAAAGAUAGAGAGCUGCAAAAUGGACUUAAAUAUUUUUUAGUGAUGGGUCAAUCUGCCUGAUAAGCUCAAAAAAUUCUCCCCAAACUCAGAGGAAAAGGAAAAAAAUUAUGAGAGAUAAGAUAUGAGACAGAGGGACUUCCCUGGUGGACCACUGGUUUAGAAGCCACCUUCCAAUG